Molecule: ribosomal RNA, 1457 nt
Filed under: uncultured bacterium
Lineage: Bacteria
Description: partial 16S ribosomal RNA
Rfam family: Bacterial small subunit ribosomal RNA
Source: RNAcentral
GAUGAACGCUUCCGUGAGAUUUACUAUCUGUGAUUCCAGGGGCAGCGGAUGCCCUCAGGGGAUGCCGGCACACCGGCGAGCUGGUGACUAACACGUAUGGAAUCUACCCUUAACUGGGGAAUAGCCUUGAAAAAUCCACGGUAAUGCCCCAUACCAUCUUCAAAAGGCAUCUUUUCUGGAUGAAAGCAUCCUGGCGAUUAAAGAUGGACAUGCGCUCCAUUAUUCUUAUAGGUGAUAUAACCUCCUCACCGAGGCUCCCCAUGGAUAGCUGAUCUGAAACGAUGAUCACCCACAUUGGCACUGAAACACGAGCCAAACUCCUACUGCACGCAUCCCUGGGGAAUCUUGCUCAAUUGUCCAAAGCCAUAACCAGUCAUGCCCCAUGCAAGAUGAAAGCCCUACUGAUCCUAAACUGCUUUUAUUCCGCAACAAAAACUCUGUUUCCACAGACCAUGACCGUACCGAUUGAAUAAAGACCGGCCAACUCCGAGCCACCAUCCGCGGAAAUACCCGACGGUCCAACCAUUAUCCGGAUUCACUGGCUUUAAACGGUGCACAGGCCGCCAAGCUACCUCAGUGGUGAAAGCCUUCCGCUCAACCGGAGAAUUGCCAUUGAAACUACUUGGCUUGACAUGCAGUAAAGGUAGGCGGAAUGUAUCAUGUACCGGUGACAUGCAUAGAUAUGGUACAGAACACUGAUAGAGAAAGCAGCUACCCACACUGUAAGUGACGAUGAGGCAUGAAAGCAUGAGUAGCAAACAGGAUCAUAUACUGUGGUAGUCCAUACCGUAAACUUUGAACACUACAAGUUUAACUCUUACAGCUUAGCUCCGUAGCGAAAGCAUUAAGUGUUACACCUCGUGAGUACGGCAGCAAGGCUAAAACUCAUAGGAAUUGAUGGGGGCCCGCACAAGCGGAGGAGCAUGUGGUUAAUUAGAUGAUACGCGAGGAACGUUACCCGGGGUACAAUGCCAGGGACAGAUCUGGAAACAGAUUCUUCAUUAGGGACACAGCGUGAGGUGACGCAUGUCUGUUGUCAGGUAAAGCGAUGAGAUGCUUGGGUUAAGUCCUUUUAUGAGAGCAACCCCUGCGUUUAGGGCCAGCACUCUCAGGCGGGCAUUCUAAAGAAAUCGCCUACGUAAGUUGAGAGGAAGGAGGUGAUGACGUCAAGUCAUCAUGGCCUUUAUGCCGGGGUUACACACAUGCUACAAUGGUGGGUACAGAGGGAAGCCAGUUAGAUAACAAGGAGAUCAUUCCAAAAGCCCAUCACGGUUUUGAUUGGAGUCCGCAACUGGAUUCCAAGAAGCUGGAUUAGUUAGUAAUGUUGGAUCAGCAAGGUCAGGGCGAAUAGGUUGCUGGUCUUUGUACACAGCACCCGUCAAGCCAUGGAAGUCCGGAGUACAAGAAGCCGGUAUCUGUACAGGAGUGGAUGAGGGUAAGCUGUGGCAAAGGGGGCG